Molecule: RNA transcript, 4536 nt
Organism: Syngnathus acus (greater pipefish)
Lineage: Eukaryota; Metazoa; Chordata; Actinopteri; Syngnathiformes; Syngnathidae
Gene: pan2
Gene name: poly(A) specific ribonuclease subunit PAN2
Exons: 27
Source: RefSeq, a predicted model, not a curated record
CGCACUCGGCAAACAACAGCCCAUCCUCCCACACGCGCGUUCGAUGUGAUUGCGUUUGCACAACCCGGCCAAGCACGGACACCUGCGGUCCUUGUUCGGACAGCCUGUCAUUUGAUUUGUUUCUUUCGGUAUGUACAUACGUAUUGGCCAUUUCUUUUCAUGUAGUGUUCGCAUCUGACCUGAGUUUGCGAGCAACUCGCGGUGUUUUUGCAGGGCAGACACAAAGCUGAUGAAGGUUGAUCUCGCCGAAGCCACCAUGAACUAUGAGGCUCUGGACACCGGGAUGCGGGACUACUCUCCGCGCCUUCACGGGACAUUGGAUGCGGUGAUGGAACCCUCCCUGGAUGCCCACAUCAACCCCAACCUCCUGCAGGGUGUGGAGAUGGACGCGGACGGUCUGGCUGUGACAGGCCCCGAAGCCGUGCACGUGACGGAGGGCAUGUUUUCGGAGCUGCACAGUGUCGUCUCCGAAGUUGGCGUCCCCGUGACAGCCACGCAUUUUGACGCGCAGGAAGAAAUGCUGUGGAUGGGAAACCACAGAGGUCACGCCACGUCAUUCUUUGGCUCUACGAUGGGCCGCUACUCUUCUUUUCAAGUUCACGCCACCGACGACAUUCGGCACAUCCAGAGUCUGGAAACGGGCGUGCUGUUCCUCUCAAAGUGUAACCUCAAGUGCUACACUCGCGGCGGCCUCGUCAUGUUCGAUUAUCCGAUGGAGGAAGGCGCCGAUAUGCAUAGCCUCCUGAUGACUGACAACAAUACUUUGCUGAUGGGUGGCCUGCAAAACUACGUGGCUGAGCUGGACUUGAAUACGGUUCAGGAAACGCAAAAGUUCACCGUGGAGGUCCCCGGAGUGGCAAUCGUGCGCCAAAGCAGUCGCUUCUUCUUCUGCGGCCACACCUCGGGCAAGGUGACGCUUCGGGACCCACGCACGUUCAAGACGGAGCACCGCUUUGACGCCUUCUCGGGCAGCCUGUCGGACUUUGACGUGCACGGCAACCUGUUGGCCGCCUGCGGCUUCUCCAGCCGCGGACUGAGCGGCCUGGCUUGCGACCGCUUCCUCAUGGUGUACGACCUGCGCAUGAUGCGAGCCGUCACGCCGCUUCAAGUGCACGUGGACCCGCUCUUCCUGCGCUUCAUCCCGACGUACACGUCCCGCUUGGCCAUCAUCUCGCAGACAGGUCAGUGCCAAUUCUGCGAGCCCACCGGGCUGGCCAACGUGGCGGACGUCUUCCACGUCAACACGGUGGGCCAGCUGCUGAUGAGUUUUGACGUGUCGUCCGGCAAGCGAGCGUUAGCCUUCGGGGACUCGGGAGGAUGCGUGCACCUGUGGUCGGACGCUCCCGACGUGUCCUUCAACGACUACUCCCGGGAGACGGACUUUGCUCUGCCCUGCCUGGUGGACACGCUGCCUCAGCUGGAGUGGAACCACGACCUGCUGCCCCUUUCGCUCAUCCCCAUGACGCUCACCGGCACCGAGCCGCUUUUGUCGGACUGGCCCGCCGCGCUGGCCGCGCCUAGACCCAGACGAGCGCCUCCCGUGGACCCGGAAAUCCUGCGCACCAUGAAGACAGUGGGAUUCAUCGGCUACGCGGCCAACCCUCGCGCUCGUCCCCGGAACCAGGUUCCUUACAAAAUGAAAGACACCGAGCAGGAUUACGACAGUUACAGCCAGGUCCCGGAGUCGCCUAUCGGGCGUGACCAAGAGCCGCAUCUCUACAUGGUGCCCAAAAAAUAUCGAAAGGUGACCAUUAAAUACUCCAAGCUGGGACUGGAGGACUUUGACUUCAAGCAUUACAACAAAACCCUGUUUGCUGGCCUGGAGCCUCACAUCCCUAACGCCUACUGCAACUGCAUGAUCCAGGUUUUGUAUUUUCUGGAGCCCAUUCGCUGCCUGGUGCAGAAUCAUUUGUGUCAGAAAGAGUUUUGUUUGGCCUGCGAGCUCGGCUUCCUCUUCCACAUGUUGGACUUGUCGCGAGGAGAUCCCUGUCAGGCAAGCAAUUUCCUGCGGGCAUUCCGCACCAUCCCCGAAGCGUCCGCACUGGGCCUGAUCCUGGCAGACUCUGACGAGCAAACGGGCAAGGCCAGACUGGGACGUCUGAUCCAGAGCUGGAACCGCUUCAUUCUCACGCAACUGCACCAGGAGACUCAAGAGCAGGAGGGGCCGCAGGCUUACAGGGGAGCCGGUGGCGGUGCCAGCGGCGGCGGCGGCAGCAGCAGCAGCAGCUGCCCGGGCUCAUCCGGCGAGUCGGCCGUCGGCAAGCUGUUUGGCUGCGAGGUGGAGAACAGCAGUCUGUGUCGCUGCGGCCAAGAGACCGUACGCUCCUCCCUCACCUUGCUCUUCACCAUGCGUUACCCCGAGCACAACCCUCAAGAGAAAACCGUAAAGGAGUACGACUUUGCCGAGAUCCUGAAGAAGAGCAUCUGUCUGGAGCAGAGCACGCAGGCGUGGUGUGAAAACUGUGACAAGUAUCAGCCCACGGUCCAGACACGCAACAUUCGAUGUCUGCCCGAUGUUUUGGUGAUAAACUGUGAGGUGAACAGUGCUAAAGAGGCGGAAUUCUGGAAGGUCCAGGCAGAGUACGCCUUCCUGAAAGCGCGGCCAAAAGUGGAGUCGGGGCCCGCCGUACCUGCAGAAGCCCCGCCCAUGCCCAGCGAGUGGUGCCUUGACGGCGAGGAGGACGUCGCCAGCAGCGUGGGGGGCUUUGCUCGCCCGGAGGACCUGAGACACACGUGGAUCCCGCUCACGUUGAAGAUGUCCAUCAGCAAAAGCCAAGGGCUGCAGGUCAGCAACUGGCCAGGAGGAGACGAGCUGAGCGCGGGUGAGGAGGCGGGCGAGGAGGCGGAUGGUGCGUCCCUCUACGACCUGGUGGUGACCGUGCCUCAUGUCCUGGACGCUCGCACGGGCGGCAACUUGGUGGCGCACAUCAAAGUGGGAGAAACCUACCACCAGAGAAAAGAGGUCGGUGGAGUCGAGCCUGUGUGCAUGGGCGCUUUUUGCCUUUUUGCUUCCACUUUGGGCCGUCUUUUCUUUCAGGGAGUCACGCACCAGCAGUGGUACCUUUUCAACGAUUUCCUCAUCGAGCCCAUCGACAAGAGUGAAGCCGCCCAGUUCGACGUGAGCUGGAAAGUGCCCGCCGUCCUCUAUUACGCCAAGAGGAACUACCACGCCAAAUACGAUCUCCGCAUUCAAAAGCCCAUCGACGCCAGCGUCCUGCUGACGGAGGCCUCGCUGGCUCGCAAGCAGAGGAAGACUCACGCCACCUUCAUCCCGCUGAUGGUCAGCGAAAUGCCGCAGGCGGGUGACCUGGUGGGGCUGGACGCAGAGUUUGUGACGCUCAACCAGGAAGAGGCCGAGCUGCGCAGCGACGGCACCAAGUCCACCAUCAAGCCCAGUCAGAUGUCGGUGGCCAGGAUCACGUGCGUGCGGGGCCAGGGGCCCAACGAGGGCGUUCCCUUCAUCGACGACUACAUCUCCACGCAGGAGCAGGUGGUGGACUACUUGACUCAGUACUCGGGCAUCAAACCGGGCGACCUGGAUGCCAAGAUCUCCUCCAAGCAUUUGACCACUCUCAAGUCCACCUACCUCAAGCUGCGCUUCCUCAUCGACACGGGGGUCCGCUUCGUCGGCCACGGCCUCCAGAAGGACUUCCGAGUGAUCAACUUAUCGGUGCUGAAAGACCAAGUCAUCGACACCGUCUACCUCUUCCAUUUGCCUCGCAAGAGGAUGAUAUCACUGCGCUUUCUCGCCUGGUACUUUCUCGACCUGAGCAUCCAGGGGGAAACCCACGACAGCAUCGAGGACGCCCGCACGGCCCUGCAGCUCUACAGGAAGUACUUAGAAGUGAGUCGUGCCGGCGGCCCCGACCAAGUCAGGAAGGUGCUGAAGGGACUCUACGAAAAAGGCCGGCAGAUGGACUGGAAAGUCCCGGACGGGGACGUGGGAGAUGGCGGCGGCGGAGCUAGUCCAAAACGGGCUGCACUGUUUCCUCCGGUGGCAGGCCUGUGACUCAACAACGCCGAUGCCGUCACCCUUUCUUAUCUUCCCCCAGCCGCCGCCGUCGUUUGCAGAUCUGCAUCGUGACAUCCAAUGCAUUUGACUCUGCUUGAGGACGUCCGGCAGGCAAAAUGUUUGGAGGCUGCAUCAAACUGGGCCCAAAAUUAAUGUCACUCCAAGAAUGCGCUGAAGCCUGCCAAAUUGUUACAGCCCAGGGGAAACGUCGGGGCGACGCAGACAGCGACUAAUUUGCUAUCAUUGCCUCAUGGUGUGGAGCAGGCCACAAGCAAGCGAGCACGACUACGCUGUGAAGCUUAGUAGCUUAGGCGUUGGUUGGUCCAUCCAUCAAUAUACUGUACCAUUAACUUCAUGACUAAUGCUGGAACGGAUAACAAACCUGUUGUGGCGGACCUCGGGAGCAGGCCUGCAUUUGGGAUGUGUUCUUUGUGACAUCGCAUGGUCUUUUGACAACUAGGGUCCCGUCUCCCUGGUUGGCGGUCAAGUCGGUCUUGGAAUAAAGACGUUUCUUCCUUCUGCCA